This is a long non-coding RNA of Ziziphus jujuba (common jujube), 529 nucleotides long. RefSeq lists it as uncharacterized. NCBI's taxonomy places the organism in Eukaryota, Viridiplantae, Streptophyta, Magnoliopsida, Rosales, Rhamnaceae. The transcript is spliced from 3 exons. The record is from RefSeq and is a predicted model, not a curated record.
AGAAAUGAAUUAGGAGAAUUUGGCCAUUAUCCCUGCUGCAUGGGUAUUGAGGAUAUAUGCCGACAGUUGGUGGAAUUUUUUAUUUUAUCUUUUAAUAUCAAUUAUAUCCUUAAAAGAAUUUAAAAUAACGUACAUAUCCUCUUAUUUUAACAUGUUUCAGUGUCGCUUCGACUCACGCGCCACACCAUUCUCCUAACAAACUUUCCCGUGCAGCAAAACUUUUACAUGGUCGGUUUAAAGUACACUAGGUUAUCAUAUCCCUCUCUUCUUCCUCUGGCUUUUCUUAUCUUUUGCAGAGGGGUCACUUCUAAGCUUUUUGUUGGAGGUACUACUCUCUCUUCUCCAUUUCUUUUUCUCCAUUUAAGUUUUACGCCCCGGGAAAUAAAACUGACUGUCAUUUUACACUACCGAAGAGCGAUUAUCGGAAGCAUUUUCAGAAUGCGAUCAAGUUGUUGAAGCUAAAAUUGUAAUGGAUAGAGUCUCAGACAGAUCAAAAGGAUUUGGAUUUGUGACCUUCGCUUCAGCUAGA